GAUGUGGGGUCUAGGACACAGAUCUUACAAUUGUGAGAGAUGCAGGAAUGACUUUAUCAGCCGUGCGGCUUUGAGAUACCAUUUUCAAGCCAAACAUCUUGGGAAAGAUGGCACUGAAUUUUUAAGAAAGAACAUUGUGCCAGAGAGUUUGUCACAUCAUGCAAAGACUGACCAUGAAAUAACACAGAUGGAAAACCUAUGGUGUGGCUGGACUAUGGCUCUUAAGAGGAAAACAAAAUCUGGAACUGUGGGAGUAUCUACAUCGUGCAGAAUGUGCAACAGGCAAUUUGGGACAGUCCAUGCUAGAGAAAACCAUGAGAAACAAGAGCAUCACUUCACUGCCAGCAAAAGAGCACAAAUGUCCAUUGGAUUUAAACCUGAAAGCAUCUUAGAAUAUAAAACACCAAUGGAAAUCAAUAAUUUUAUGGAAGCAAAUCUCCGACCCACCCAAGGCCCUGUAAGAUUAGGCUGUGCAUCAGAAGUUGAAGGAAUUAUUGGCUCAAUCAAAGAAGAGUUUCCAUUGCCAAUAACUUGCAUCAUUAAGGUAUAGAUGAUCCCAUGCCCCACUUGAAAAUUAUCAUCACAGUAUGUUCUUUUUUCACUAAAGGAAGAGGGCUGGCAUUCCAUAUUUAAUUACUUUUCCAUAUGUGUGUGUAUAUAUGCAUUAAAUGCUCAUUAGUUCCCUAUGGUGCAGAGAUCCUGUUUUAUGAAUGCUCAAAGUGCAAUAUUUUA
Molecule: long non-coding RNA, 732 nt
Filed under: Anolis carolinensis (green anole)
Lineage: Eukaryota; Metazoa; Chordata; Lepidosauria; Squamata; Anolidae
Description: lncRNA (ENSACAG00000041161.1)
Source: RNAcentral